GACGAACGCUGGCGGCGUGCUUAACACAUGCAAGUCGAACGGAAAGGCCCUGCUUUUGUGGGGUGCUCGAGUGGCGAACGGGUGAGUAACACGUGAGUAACCUGCCCUUGACUUUGGGAUAACUUCAGGAAACUGGGGCUAAUACCGGAUAGGAGCUCCUGCUGCAUGGUGGGGGUUGGAAAGUUUCGGCGGUUGGGGAUGGACUCGCGGCUUAUCAGCUUGUUGGUGGGGUAGUGGCUUACCAAGGCUUUGACGGGUAGCCGGCCUGAGAGGGUGACCGGCCACAUUGGGACUGAGAUACGGCCUAGACUCCUACGGGAGGCAGCAGUGGGGAAUAUUGCACGAUGGGCGGAAGCCUGAUGCAGCAACGCCGCGUGCGGGAUGACGGCCUUCGGGUUGUAAACCGCUUUCGCCUGUGACGAAGCGUGAGUGACGGUAAUGGGUAAAGAAGCACCGGCUAACUACGUG
Molecule: ribosomal RNA, 468 nt
Filed under: uncultured bacterium
Lineage: Bacteria
Description: partial 16S ribosomal RNA
Rfam family: Bacterial small subunit ribosomal RNA
Source: RNAcentral